UGGGGAAUUUUGGACAAUGGGGGCAACCCUGAUCCAGCAAUGCCGCGUGAGGGACGACGGCCUUCGGGUUGUAAACCUCUUUUAGUAGGGAAGAAGCGAAAGUGACGGUACCUGCAGAAAAAGCACCGGCUAACUACGUGCCAGCAGCCGCGGUAAUACGUAGGGUGCAAGCGUUAUCCGGAAUUAUUGGGCGUAAAGAGCUCGUAGGCGGUUUGUCGCGUCUGCUGUGAAAACUGGAGGCUCAACCUCCAGCCUGCAGUGGGUACGGGCAAACUAGAGUGCGGUAGGGGAGAUUGGAAUUCCUGGUGUAGCGGUGGAAUGCGCAGAUAUCAGGAGGAACACCGAUGGCGAAGGCAGAUCUCUGGGCCGUAACUGACGCUGAGGAGCGAAAGCAUGGGGAGCGAACAGGAUUAGAUACCCCGGUAGUCCCUGAGCGGGCUGGCAAGGCGCAU
Molecule: ribosomal RNA, 452 nt
Filed under: uncultured bacterium
Lineage: Bacteria
Description: bacterial SSU rRNA
Rfam family: Bacterial small subunit ribosomal RNA
Source: RNAcentral